AUGGGUCCCUAUGGGUCCCUAUGGGUCCCUAUGGGUCCCUAUGGGUCUCUAUGGGUCCCUAUGGGUCUCCCUGCCCCACACUUUAGGCUGGAGCCCGGCUCAGGCCCAGAUGUUGGGGACACAGUUUUGGGGUCAGCGCCCCCCAGGUGAGUGAUGACGUCAUCAGUGACGUCACCGGGUGUGAUGACAUCAUCGUGAUGACAUCAUAGGGUGGAUGACGUCAUCAACCCACCCCCCCCCAUAUCUGUGACCCACAGAGCAGGAACCGGGACCUAAAAUCAGGUACUUAUGGGGUGAUAUGGGGUCCCUAUGGGGUCUCUAUGGGUCCCUAUGGGGUCUCUAUGGGUCCCUAUGGGUCCCUAUGGGUCUCUAUGGGUCCCUAUGGGUCUCUAUGGGUCCCUAUGGGGUCACUAUGGGUCCUAUGGGGUCUCUAUGGGUCUUAUGGGUUGCUAUGGAUCCUAUGGGGUCCCUAUGGGUCUCAAUGGGUUCGCUAUGGGUCCCUAUGGGUCUCUGUGGGUCCUAUGGGGUCCCUAUGGGUCUCUAUGGGGUUAUUAUGGGGUCCUAUGGGGUCAGUAUUGGUCUCUAUGGGGUCCCUAUGGGGUCUCUAUGGGUCUUAUGGGUCCCUAUGGGGUUCUUAUGGGGUCCUAUGGGUUUCUAUGGGUCCCUAUGGGGUCUCUAUGGGUCCCUAUGAGGUUCCUAUGGGUUUCUAUGGGUCCUAUGGGUUCGCUAUGGGUCCCUAUGGGUCCUAUGGGUUUCUAUGGUCCCUAUGGGGUCCCUAUGGGUCUCUAUGGGUUCGCUAUGGGUCCCUAUUGGGUUCUUAUGGGUCCCUAUGGGGUCUCUAUGGGUCCUAUGGGGUCUUUAUGGGUCACUAUGGGGUUGCUAUGGGUCCCUAUGGGGUUGUUAUGGGUCUCUAUGGGUUUCUAUGGGGUCCCUAUGGGGUCAUUAUGGGUCUUAUGGGGUCUCUAUGGGGUUGUUAUGGGUCCCUAUGGGGUUAUUAUGGGUCUUAUGGGGUCCCUAUGGGGUUUUUAUGGGUCCCUGUGGGUCACUAUGGGGUCUCUAUGGGUCCCUAUGGGGUUGUUAUGGGUCCUAUGGGGUCAUUAUGGGUCUCUGUGGGUCCCUAUGGGGUUGUUAUGGGUCCCUAUGGGUUGUAUGGGUCUUAUGGGUCUCUAUGGGGUCCCUAUGGGUCCCUAUGGGGNGGUCUCCCUGCCCCACACUUUAGGCUGGAGCCCGGUUCAGGCCCAGAUGUUGGGGACACAGUUUUGGGGUCAGCGCCCCCCAGAGCAGGAACCAGGACCUAAAAUCAGGUACUUAUGGGGUGAUAUGGGGUCUCUAUGGGUCUCUAUGGGUCCCUAUGGGGUUGUUAUGGGUCCCUAUGGGUCACUAUGGGUCCCUAUGGGGUCUUUAUGGGUUCUUUGGGGUCUCUAUGGGUCCCUAUGGGGUUCUUAUGGGGUCCUAUGGGGUCUCUAUGGGUCCCUGUGGGGUCAUUAUGGGUCUCUAUGGGUCUCUGUGGGUCCCUAUGGGGUCUCUAUGGGUCCCUAUGGGGUUCUUAUGGGGUCCUAUGGGUUUCUAUGGGUCCUAUGGGGUCCCUAUGGGGUCUCUAUGGGUCUCUGUGGGUCCCUAUUGGGUUCUUAUGGGUCCCUAUGGGGUCUCUAUGGGUCCUAUGGGUCACUAUGGGUCCCUAUGGGGUCUUUAUGGGUUCUUUGGGGUCUCUAUGGGUCUCUGUGGGUCUCUAUGGGGUUUCUAUGGGUCACUAUGGGUCCCUAUGGGUCCUAUGGGGUCUCUAUGGGUUUCUAUGGGGUCUCUAUGGGUCCUGUGGGGUCUCUAUGGGUCUUAUGGGUCUCUAUGGGUUCGCUAUGUGUCCCUAUGGGGUCUCUAUGGGUCCUAUGGGGUCUCUAUGGGUCACAAUGGGUCCCUAUAGGGUUGUUAUGGGUCCCUAUGGGUCCUGUGGGUUUCUAUGGGGUCCCUAUGGGGUCUCUAUGGGGUCAUUAUUGGUCUUAUGGGGUCUCUGUGGGGGGAUAUGGGGAUCUAUGGGUCUCUAUGGGGUUCUUAUGGGGUCCUAUGGGUUUCUAUGGGUCCUAUGGGGUCACUAUGGGUCUCUAUGGAUCCUAUGGGGUCCCUAUGGGUCUUAAUGGGUUCGCUAUGGGUCCCUAUGGGGUCUUUAUGGAUCCUAUGGGGUCCCUAUGUGUCUCUAUGGGGUGCUAUGGGGUCAGUAUGGGUCUCUAUGGGGUCUCUAUGGGUCCUAUGGGUUUCUACGGGGUCCCUAUGGGGUCUUUAUGGGUCCUAUGGGGUCCCUAUGGGGUCAUUAUGGGUCUUAUGGGGCCGCUAUGGGGUCAGUAUGGGUCUCUGUGGGUCCUAUGGGGUCUCUAUGGGUCCCUAUGGGGUCUCUAUGGGUCCCUAUGGGGUCUCUAUGGGUCCCUAUGGGGUUGUUAUGGGUCUCUAUGGGUCCCUAUGGGGUUCUUAUGGGGUCCUAUGGGGUCUCUAUGGGGUCUCUAUGGGUCCCUAUUGGGUUCUUAUGGGUCUUAUGGGUCUCUAUGGGGUCACUAUGGGUCCCUAUGGGUCCCUAUGAGGUUCUUAUGGGUCCCUAUGGGUCACUAUGGGGUCUCUAUGGGUCUUAUGGGGUCUUUGUGGGUCUCUAUGGGGUCCCUAUGGGUCCCUAUUGGGUUCUUAUGGGUCCCUAUGGGGUCUCUAUGGGUCCCUAUGGGGUCUCUAUGGGUCUCUAUGGGGUCAAUAUGGGUCUCUAUGGGUCCCUAUGGGGUUGUUAUGGGCCCUAUGGGGUCAUUAUGGGUCUCUAUGGGUCUCUAUGGGUCCCUAUGGGGUUGUUAUGGGUCUCUAUGGGUCCCUAUGGGUCGUAUGGGUCUUAUGGGUCUCUAUGGGGUCUCUAUGGGUCCUAUGGGGUUGUAUGGGUCCCUAUGGGUCUCUAUGGGUCCCUAUGGGGUCUCUAUGGGGUCAUUAUUGGUCUUAUNGGUCUCCCUGCCCCACACUUUAGGCUGGAGCCCGGUUCAGGCCCAGAUGUUGGGGACACAGUUUUGGGGUCAGCGCCCCCCAGAGCAGGAACCAGGACCUAAAAUCAGGUUCACAGCGGAGCUGGCUCGUGCCUACCUGGCUGUGAGGCUCAGGAGGGACCACGCGGCUGUGGGGCGGGCACUGCAAGAGGGCGGCCCACGAGUUAUGGGGCGGCAGCGUGCGGCACUACGUGUGUGUGGGGCCAUCCAGGGCCAUGAGGGACAUGGGGGAGAGACUGAGACACGGUGAGGGGGU
Coturnix japonica (Japanese quail) is the source of this 3258-nucleotide long non-coding RNA. The record is from Ensembl. Lineage: Eukaryota; Metazoa; Chordata; Aves; Galliformes; Phasianidae.